ACCGGCUGACGAGUCCCAAAUAGAACGAAACGCGGUUCCUGGAU
RNAcentral lists this non-coding RNA (44 nucleotides) under Schistosoma mansoni. The record is from RNAcentral. Lineage: Eukaryota; Metazoa; Platyhelminthes; Trematoda; Strigeidida; Schistosomatidae.